RNAcentral lists this ribosomal RNA (164 nucleotides) under Cicca betsileana. RNAcentral describes it as "Phyllanthus betsileanus 5.8S ribosomal RNA". It matches the Rfam family "5.8S ribosomal RNA". From Rfam's summary of the family: 5.8S ribosomal RNA (5.8S rRNA) is a component of the large subunit of the eukaryotic ribosome. It is transcribed by RNA polymerase I as part of the 45S precursor that also contains 18S and 28S rRNA. Lineage: Eukaryota; Viridiplantae; Streptophyta; Magnoliopsida; Malpighiales; Phyllanthaceae. The record is from RNAcentral.
AAAACGACUCUCGGCAACGGAUAUCUCGGCUCUCGCAUCGAUGAAGAACGCAGCAAAAUGCGAUACUUGGUGUGAAUUGCAGAAUCCCGUGAACCAUCGAGUUUUUGAACGCAAGUUGCGCCCAAACCCUUCGGGUCGAGGGCACGUCUGCCUGGGUGUCACGC